Molecule: ribosomal RNA, 253 nt
Filed under: uncultured bacterium
Lineage: Bacteria
Description: partial 16S ribosomal RNA
Rfam family: Bacterial small subunit ribosomal RNA
Source: RNAcentral
UACGUAGGGGGCAAGCGUUGUCCGGAUUCAUUGGGCGUAAAGAGCGUGUAGGCGGCCAGGUAGGUCGGUUGUGAAAACCGGAGGCUCAACCUCCGGCCUGCAGUGGGUACGGGCAAACUAGAGUGCGGUAGGGGAGAUUGGAAUUCCUGGUGUAGCGGUGGAAUGCGCAGAUAUCAGGAGGAACACCGAUGGCGAAGGCAGAUCUCUGGGCCGUAACUGACGCUGAGGAGCGAAAGCGUGGGGAGCGAACAGG